CGCUGUGCCCUAUAGGGGAAGCUGUGCCCUAUGGGGGGUCGCUGUGCCCUGUAGGGGAAAGCUGUGCCCUAUGGGGGAGCUGUGUCCUAUAGGGGAAAGCUGUGCUCUAUGGGGGAGCUGUGUCCUAUAGGGGAAAGCUGUGCCCUAUGGGGGAUCGCUGUGCCCUAUAGGGGAAAGCUGUGCUCUAUGGGGGAGCUGUGCCCUAUGGAGGAAGGCUGUGCCCUAUGGGGGAUCGCUCUGCCCUAUAGGGGAAAGCUGUGCCCUAUGGGGGA
This 272-nucleotide long non-coding RNA is filed under the name Gallus gallus (chicken). Its description in RNAcentral is "lncRNA (ENSGALG00010028814.1)". Lineage: Eukaryota; Metazoa; Chordata; Aves; Galliformes; Phasianidae. The record is from RNAcentral.